Equus caballus (horse) is the source of this 5263-nucleotide long non-coding RNA. Lineage: Eukaryota; Metazoa; Chordata; Mammalia; Perissodactyla; Equidae. The record is from Ensembl.
CAUGGAUUUCUGACCUCACUGCAGACUCCGAUAUCCAUGCUUCCUCUCUGGGUUCCUUUUUGCCUUUGCUAAAGCAGGUUGUUUCUCGCUCUCUCAGCCAGGGGCUGUGGGUGGUGAAUCCCUCAUGCUCUGUGGGUAUGUGCCAUCUUUACUUGGCCUCUUUCAGAGGAUUCCUUAUUUCCCCACCAGGGGCUGCAGGUGCCCAGCGCCAGGUCCUUGGGCACAAAGGUCCACCCACCACCAGACCCGCUCCCCUCCGGAGGCGGCCAAUGUUAUCGUUCUACUGUACAAACAGACACACACAUUAUUCCUUUGUCUCCUUUUUUCUUUUUUUAAUGAAUCCAGUAGCAAACUCUCCACAUGGCCUCUUGCUUUUUCACUUAAUGAGAAUCUGGGUGCUCACUCCCAGGAGACACAGAGUGCCCCUCAGGCCUUUUGAGGAGUGCAUACAAUGCCACCAACCUCAUUGAUUAAACAUCUACUUAUCUAUCUGACUGAUGAAAAGCUAGACUUCUCCCAACCCCUCGCUAUUCUGAACGACGCACUUCUGAACACCCUUGUUUAUGCUGAUCCCUGCACACGUAACCUUAUCUAUAGGUUUGGGUCGGGGGUGUGCACCUGUACUCUGGAAGGACAGCGUCAAGCUGCCUUUCACAAGACUGUGCGAGCUGUACUUCAAACAGCCAUGUCUGAGCCUAUGCCUGCCAUUCCCAAUAGUGCAUUAACAAGUUUUAGAUCUGUGAAAAUCGGACAUGUGAGAAACGAGAUCCCUAUAGGCUCUUCACUCGUACUUCUCUUGUUAUCAACAGAUCGAACAUCCUCUUUUUUUUAAUGCUGAAAGAGCCACACAUGUAUCUUGCUGUGAAAUGCCUAUUACUACCCUUUUUGUGCGUUUCUCUUUUCAGCAAUUAGUCAUUUUCUUCUUGGCCUAUGAGCUCUUUAUAUAUGAAGGAAAUGGGCCCUCUGUCAGUACUAAGAGCUGCAAUAGCCUUUCCAGUUUAUUAUUUAUCUUCUGAUUUUGCUCGUGGCACUUGUCUUUUGCCAUGCAGAAUUGCAGAUUCUAUAAGGGGAAAUCAUCACUCUUUCCUUUUGUGCCUCUGGUUGUGUAUGAACCUCUGUGGGGAAAUGUUCUCCCACGAUUCUUCUCAUAACACGAUGGUUUCAAUGGUUUAGAUUUAAAUUCCUGCUCCUCUGUGUAACCCACACCCGCUCGUUUACCCCAUUCACUCCUGAACGUCAGCUUGACUGUGUCUUCAAACCCAGACAGGUGGCGUCCAACAGAACUUGCGGGUGCAAUGGAAACGGUCCCCAUCUGUGCAUCUAACACACUGGCCACUGGCCUCAAGACCCCCAGGUGCUUAACGUAGGGUGAGCUGACUAGAGAACUGAGUUUUUACUUUUAAUUAAUUACUCUUUGAAUUUAAAUAGCUGUGAAUGGAUGGCUGCCUGGAAGAGGCCACCACCUUCACCUGCCCUCAAGCCGAGCUUGUCCUCUCUGCGACUUCUCAUCCCUGUGUUAAGUGGGUUUGCCUUCCUGAUCCUGCCGACCACUCAGGCCACACCAUCAGCUAAGAACUCUUUCCUCUGGAGCACUCUCAACACCUUCUUAAAUGGUCUCAAAUCUCAAGAGGAGAGAUCUUAAAGUAAAUCUCCUCAACACGCAUGCGUGCGUGCAUGACGGCAGCCAUCCCUGCGAAGUGAUGUAUGCUUUUCAGCUCCAAACUCCGCCUGGGCGCAGUGCGACGGCUCACUCAGGCUGUCACCCACUCCCUGUCCACCAGACAUGCCCACUCCCUGGACUGUAAGAUGUCGUGAGGCUGCUGCCUGUGUCUACCAGGCUAUUCUCUGGGACCUGCUUGUCCUUUGGGUUCCAGCUUCUUUCCACGAACUUCUCCUCAGUGACGACUCAAUCUGAGUAAGGUCUCUGUGACCCCCUUAUUCUAACUCAUCCUGUUUCCUUCUCAGCAGGUGCCAUGGGCCAGACUGUGCCCCCGGACCUACAGGCUGAGGCCUAAGCCCAGGUGGCUGUAUCUGGAGAUGGGCCUGGGAGGUGGCGAUGAAGGUUCCAUGAGGUCACAGGGUGGCCAUGACCUCACAGGGCUGGUGUCCCACAGGGAGAGGAGGAGACCAGAGCUCUCUGCAGGUGCACAUGAGGACGCAGGGAGAGGCAGUGCCCGUAAGCCAGAGAGAGUGGCCCCACCAGGAACCGAAUCCUCAGCGCCUGGAUCUCGGGCCUCCAGCCUCCAGAGAUGCAUGUCUGUUGUCGAAGCCGCCCAGUCCAUGCAGUUCCGUUCUGGCAGCCCGAGGUGACCAAGACAUUUGCCCUCCCACCAUAUGCUGGGCGCUGUGUGACUUUAUUCUUCCGUAUCCUGCAGUCACUACUCACGUUUCAUCGCGUCCCGAAGGAGACUGAGCUAAUGGUGGCAAGGAAGUUCCAUCCUCAGCCGCAGCCGUCACCCAGCAGCUUUCUGAAUGACCAGUGACUGGCUGGUGCUCCCAGCGCAGCUUCUGCUGCACGCAGUGAAUCAGACACCCACAGACCCGGUGACUCCACAACUCUGGUGCAACUGCUCAAAACCUGUCAGGACCUGAGUACCGCGGGAAGACAAGACAGCAUGGGGGACGAGACCGCAGGAAGCUCUAGAACCCCGUCUGGGCUCUGAUCUCAGCUCGUCCCGCUACACAGCCCUGCGAUCCGAGCCUCAGGCUCCUCCUGUGAUGUCAGAGCCCCGCCUUAGAGGGCUGUUUGGAGACUGGAGAUCACAUCCUGCUCUCAGCAGCCCUGCCCACGGCAACCACUCAGCGGGUCUUGGUAACGAUGGGGGCUGCAUCCAAGUGGAAGAGAAUUCUGGGAGAUUCUCAUGGCUACACUGCUGGAAGUGGGUUUAGACGGUCAUCCCCAACAUGUGCCUCACUGUCUACUUGGUUCAGCCCCUUCCUCAGACCCAGGGGGGACUCAGGUGCAGGUGCCUGAACUCACUUGCUGCCUCCUCUGUGCCAGCCACUGUGCCAGCACUGGGACAGUGUGAUGGUCAUGACGACACAGCCCUGUCUUCUAAAAGGAGAGAGCACGAGCACACAGGCGUUUCGCCUACGGCACAUGCAGGGCCACGAGGAAACAAUGGAGGCGACGUGACAGAAGCUGACAGGAGGGGAGCCCGCGCACACAGGGAAACUCACUCUCCUAAAGGUGUGGGAGCGUCACAGACCCUCAGAGAGUAAGCGCGAUUCUGACUGAAGCACUGGUGUGAGCUGCGCGCUCGCAGGCGGACACGAGUGGAGGAAAAGGGUGAAAGUACGGGUGGGGACACAAGCUCUCGCCUUCCAGGUGCCCUUCCACCCCAUCUGUAUCCACACUGCCCGUCGUUGACAGAGACGCACUGAUCUGCCUCACUUAAGGAGCUCAGUGUGCUCUGACGUGGACGCCCCACGCUUUAUCACUCUACGUCCAAUGACGGUCACAGCAGCUUCCAAGCCAACCUUGACAAAGCCAAUUCCGGGUCUCCAGCCCGGCGUCUCAAAAAGAACAAUAACCACAACCAGCCUCCAGAAGCCUCAGGUACAGUGGCCACCAACUGAGGAAGCGCGUGAAGCUCCCCACAGCUCCAUCACUAAGACAACCACCACCAAACAGUGGUUUAACUGGCUUUUUCCAUUAGGAAUGCAGCACUGUUCACUCAACCAACUCCAGCUGUCAGGCAGUCAGAUUCCUAACUGUUAGCGCCUCCAGAAGGAAGCAGGCGUCAGCUACGUCCUCUGCCUCCUGGACAGCAAAAGAAACGUGGCUCAUGCUCCCAACCACACGGCCUGCAGCGGUCCAGAGACGGCCUGCAACCCUGUGAGUCCUGAGGCAGCACCCACUCACCAUCUGCUCUGCCCCAGGCCCGCGUCUGUGCACCAGCUUCUCCUCUGUCCCUUGUCGAUCCAGAUGCACAGCUCAGCCCCUCCUUCUUCUACAAAUCGUCCACUCACCCCAAGCACCUCAAGACUCAUUUCUUUUUUGUGCUGAAUACUGUUCCACUGUCUGGAUGGACCACAGUUUGUUCAUCCACCCACUGAAGGACGCCUUGGUGCUUCCAAGCUUUGGCGAUUUUGAAUAAAGCUGCUGAAACACCCGUGUGCAGGUUUUGUGUGGACGAGAGCAGGGUCACUUUGCGGGAGAUCUGAGGGAGGGGUCAGAUCAUUUUCUGCUCAAUGUCCGCAGCCUGGGCUUCCCCGGCCCCUCCUUCUCUACCUCAGGCAGAUGUCCUAUCCCUGUGGAGAAGUCCUGGGCUGCCAACACGCACGCCCUCAGCAACUCAGAGAGACUCUCCUCUUAGGAGGUAAGGAAAACACACUGGUCAAGAAAAUGGACUUUUCUUUGAGAAGGGUCAGAGUGUGGCCGUGCUGGCGGGUAGUGCUCAGGGUCUGACAGGAAGAGGGUGACCAGGGUGACAAUGCUGUGCACUUUCCAUUUCCUGAGAUGGGGGAUGGAGGAAGGCACUUGCUGUGGAGCUUUGAGGGGGUGAGACGCCCAACAGACAUCAAGCAGAGGUGAUGAUACUUCAUGAGCCAUCCCACAUAAAACCCUGAGCCUGCAGAUGGGCACAGUUGGAGAACUCAGUUUGGGAGCCACAACUAUCCAUAUAUGGACACAGAAGCCAUGGGACCAGGUUAAGUUACUUGGUACGUGGGUGUGGAUAAGAUAGUCUGGGGCACCCCAACAUUCGGGGAGUGUGGAUAUGAGUCAAUUUAAUGUGCGGAGAGGACUGUUACAUCAAAGGAUAGAUAAGUUGGAUAUUUUAAGACAUGCUAUAAAACCACCUCUACAGGGCUGUACUGAGUGACAUUUCUACCAGCAAUUUCUGAGGACUCCCUUCCUCCAUUCCCGAUGACAAGGGAGCAGGCGUACUUUCAACAUGUCCUUUGUCGCCUUGGUAGACAGAGCAGCAUUACGGCCGCUUCACCUGCGUGUUUAUCCCAGGGAGGGUCUCAGUGGUCCUCUGCAGGGGGAGCAGCGGGCUCAAGCACAGCUGCUCCACACAGUCCUGGAGUUCAGCUCAGAACCCCGGCACGGUCGAGCCCAAUCACACCACAGCUACAACUAACUGAACAGGAAAUAUUUCAGGUUAAUUAUUCUCAGGAAAAAAACAGAAAAUACUUCCUUCCUGCCUGGAGUAAUGUUGAAAUGGCACCAGAGGUCACGUGGGACUGAAGAGUGGAGACUACGCACCAGACUCCCUGUCUGGGCAACACUUCUUGGUGCUGCGACCUUUCAAGAAAC